UUCAUAUAUUUGCCGCUGGGUGCCUUUGUGUGAACAAAGGGUAACAGGGAAUCGGGUGCAAAUCCCGAGUGGUCGCGCCACUGUAACCAAGGAGUUUUCUUUCAGGAUGUCACUUGACCGUCAGUCAGGGAAGACGAAAGGAAAUGUUGAUCUGGAAGCCAGGAGACCUACCUAGUAGGCAUCACCGAUU
This 190-nucleotide non-coding RNA is filed under the name Peribacillus simplex. The record is from RNAcentral. Lineage: Bacteria; Bacillati; Bacillota; Bacilli; Caryophanales; Bacillaceae.